This 312-nucleotide unclassified non-coding RNA is filed under the name Hevea brasiliensis (rubber tree). The record is from RNAcentral. Lineage: Eukaryota; Viridiplantae; Streptophyta; Magnoliopsida; Malpighiales; Euphorbiaceae.
GGAUGCAAAAAUUGAGCCACAGGCAAGUCCAGUUACUGCUGCUGAAAUGAAUGAAAGCUCUAGCAAAUUAUUGGGCACGACCAAAGCAGCUAAUGCGACUGGAAAACUUGGAUCUGUGAUUUCUCCUGGAAUGUCUACUGCAUUGGAACUGAGAAAUCCUUCCAGUAUAAAUGCCAUGACAAGUCCAACGACGGUUCCACCUUGUUCAGUACUGCCUUCUGAAGUCUGGCUCCAGAAUGAAAAGGAGCUAAAACGGGAAAGGAGAAAACAGUCGAAUAGAGAAUCCGCUAGGAGGUCAAGGUUGAGGAAGCA